AGUCCGCACUUGUGGCGCGCAGACUCAGUGGUAAUGGAAGGAGGCUCAUAAUCUUAUGUGAUUGUAGUUUUUACUAAUGAAGAAUGUUUAAAGGUGUCAAAAAGCCGGGUGUUAGAGCCAAGCGGUCUCGUUUCACACCACCGAGACGGUCCACGAGUUCCUAUUAGGCUGGAAGACUCUAUUUUUGAAACAGUGUGUGAUCGUCCCCAUCUAGUGGCUCUAAAACAGAUUGAGAUAGCCCCCAAGUGGACAGUGGGAAGCCCUACCUGCAAACCUACUCUACAAACAGGCUGCUAAGCCCAGGAAGACAGAGAAAGAACACACAUCAGUACCACUCUCCUUGAAAUAUAAGGCCACAUGGGAAAUGCUGGCCUAUGGUGCGGGAGGAGGGUAGAUACCCAAACCAGGAUUAAAAAGCCAACCGACCCUAUUUACACGUAAGAUAUUGGUUCUCUCCUCUCUUCUUCCCACCCCACCCCAGGACCUUGGUAUAUAAUGCAGACUGACCCCAAAUGCUCUUUCUACCACCGCCUCCCACAUGCUGGGAUUACAGGCCAGUCACAAGGUGCGUUGGGAAGACAACAUCCUGUUCUUGAGAAGCUUGAAUUGAUGGUCACACCUGAAACAUCAAAGGCUUUAGAAGCUGAAUCGGAUCCACUGUAUUCAUCUAACAACAUCCCCUUUGGCUUACCCAGAGGAGUCAUCAGUGGAAAGUUCUAAUGCAAUAGCCAUUUCAUGUAUGGCUCUAAGAAAGUGCCCCAUCCAAGAAAACAAGGGCAAUCUGUGCCCUUCCCCACCAUACCUUGGCCUGUUUCCACAUUCUUUAACUAUACUAGCUAACAAGCUGAGGAAUAUAACUGAAGUAUGUUCCUAAGUUCUGUGAGCCAUUCUGACAAAUUAUCGACCCUGAGAAGGAAGUGGUGGGUGUCUCAAAUUGAACACAAAGAAGAUACCACACUUGCCUGCCUACUUCUUUGAUGUGUGCCUUUUUUCCCAAAGUCAACUUUUUCAUGUUAUUUCACAGUAAAAUCUGCUUCUCCUCUGACUCAGACAAACCAUUUCUGACCACAGUCUUCAUAUUUGAGUCCUACUGUUUCAAAACUCCUACCAAGGAUUGGUAGGUGGAUUUACAUAUGAGGUACCCAUGGAGCAUUAUGGCUGUUUCUUGGUAGCUGUGUCUCCUGGUGUUCAGACAAAAUGCUCUUUGGUGGUUUAUGCUGUGGUUGGCUUCUCCCCAACAUAGCAGAAACUAAGUACCAGGAAAAACCUAAACCAACCGCCACACAUCCAUAUGAUUCUGCAUCCUCAAGAAACCCAAUUUCCUUGCCAUUUUCUUUGCCAGCUUGCCUCUCCUUUUAAAGAAGAUCAUGGGAAGAAUCAUCCAAGAAAAGAGAUCUGGUUCACCAUGGUUUGGGAAAGGAAAAACAGUCACCUUACCCUAUGAAUAUACCAUCUCAUAAAUAUUCAUGCAACAUCUUAAAAACCCACAACAUAUGCUAAACAUGAUGCGUGCCUAUAGCUCCAGCAUGUGGGCCAUAUCUGCCAGUCUGGUAGAGGAUACUUUACUUUACAUCCCUCCUUCUAUGAUGGGAGAAUUAGUUAGGGGAUAUGUGUUCUUUCUUGUUCUUGGCGGAUUCAUGCACUUGCUACUCAGUGGACAGUUUUAUCUUGUGUAUGUGUGGGCCAGUGGUUAACCUUGGGCAUCAUUUCUCAAUAGCUCAGCACAUUGGCCUGGAGCAUGCUAAGUAGGGUAGCCUGACUGGCCAGUGUGCCUCUGGAACUCAUUUAUCUCCACCACCACUAGAAUUACAAGUGUGCAUCACCACAUUUAGUUUUCUUAAACUUUUUAAAGAUUUAUUUAUUUUAUGUGCAUUGGCAUUAUUUGGCUGCAUAUGUAUCUGUGUGAAGGUACCAGAUCCCCUGAAACUGGAGUUACAGACAGUGAUGAGCUGACAUGUGGGUGCUGGGAAUUGAACCCAGGUCCUCUAAAGAGCAGCCAGAGCUCUUACCGCUGAGCCAUCUCUCCAGCCCCAACAUACUUGUUUUUCAGCAUUGACUCUGGGGAUCAAACUCAGGUUCUUGUGCUUGCAAGAGAAUCACUUUACCCAAUUAGCUACCCCCAACCCCAUAACCCCACUCUUUCUUUGUAAUAUCUAAGACCUCUUUAUAUGGCAGGGAAAUUAAAAAACAAAACAAACAAACAAACAAAACUAGCUUUUUCUUAGAACAUUAUAGAGAGCUACAGAUUUUUUUUUUUUAUAAAAGAUUUAUUUAGAACAGCCAGUGCUCUUAACCACUGAGCCAUCUCUCCAGCCCCCUGCCACAGGUUAAAAGAGGCUGAAUAAAAACAUUCAUGCCACUCUACUCCUUGGUAAUAGGAAUUCCUUGAUCCGGUUUUGUUCUUGAUUGUAUAGCAGCUAUGAUUAUGUAAACAUCUGAAGAGAUGACCCCCCCCCUCGCCCCCUUCCUACAUUCUUUUCAGGGUUUAAAUCAUAUCCAUUCCCCCAGAGGUCUUGUCACUUGCCAAUGCCUCAAAAUAUUAGGUGAGGGCCCUGCUGCAUCCUCUUUGGCUCUCCUAAAUUAAGCUCUGGGCUAAAACUAUUUUAACUGUCACUUAGCUAUCACAACACCAAAAGUAUCAAUGACAAAAAGAAAAAAAAAAAAA
This is a non-coding RNA of Cricetulus griseus (Chinese hamster), 2665 nucleotides long. NCBI's taxonomy places the organism in Eukaryota, Metazoa, Chordata, Mammalia, Rodentia, Cricetidae. The record is from RefSeq and is a predicted model, not a curated record.